AUGGCUUCUUGACCUUUUGGCUAAGAUCCAGUGUAGUAUCUGUUCUUAUCGGUUUAAUAUCUGAUACAUCCUCCAUCCAAGGACAAUAUAUUAAAUAGAUUUUGGAGCAGAGAGAUGGAAUAGAAGCUUGUUCCAUCCACUCCAUGCAUCAACCUGGUAUUGCAGUACCUCCAGGAACAAUGCACCCCCU
Papio anubis (olive baboon) is the source of this 190-nucleotide small nuclear RNA. Its record names the gene U2. It matches the Rfam family "U2 spliceosomal RNA". Rfam says of the family: U2 is a small nuclear RNA (snRNA) component of the spliceosome (involved in pre-mRNA splicing). The record is from Ensembl. Lineage: Eukaryota; Metazoa; Chordata; Mammalia; Primates; Cercopithecidae.